UACUCUAAGCGGUGGAUCACUUGGCUCAUGGGUCGAUGAAGAACGCAGCAAACUGUGCGUCAUCGUGUGAACUGUCAGAGACACAGGGACAUCGACAUUUGAACGCAUAUCGCAGUCCAUGCUG
This 124-nucleotide ribosomal RNA is filed under the name Anastrepha suspensa (Caribbean fruit fly). Its description in RNAcentral is "5.8S ribosomal RNA". It matches the Rfam family "5.8S ribosomal RNA", at positions 1 to 125 of the family's 154-position model. From Rfam's summary of the family: 5.8S ribosomal RNA (5.8S rRNA) is a component of the large subunit of the eukaryotic ribosome. It is transcribed by RNA polymerase I as part of the 45S precursor that also contains 18S and 28S rRNA. Functionally, it is thought that 5.8S rRNA may be involved in ribosome translocation. The record is from RNAcentral. Lineage: Eukaryota; Metazoa; Arthropoda; Insecta; Diptera; Tephritidae.